RNAcentral lists this ribosomal RNA (258 nucleotides) under uncultured bacterium. Its description in RNAcentral is "partial 16S ribosomal RNA". It matches the Rfam family "Bacterial small subunit ribosomal RNA", at positions 524 to 777 of the family's 1533-position model. The record is from RNAcentral.
UACGAAGGGGCCUAGCGUUGCUCGGAAUCACUGGGCGUAAGGUGCGUAGGCGGGUUCUAAGGUCAGAGGUGAAAGCCUGGAGCUCAACUCCAGUAACUGCCUUUGAUACUGGAAGUCUUGUAGUAUGGCAGAGGUGAGUGGAACUGCGAGUGUAGAGGUGAAAUUCGUAGAUAAUUCGCAAGAACACCAGUGGCGGAAGGCGGCUCCACUGGGCCAUUACUGACGCUGAAGGCACGGAAAGCGUGGGAGCAAACACGG